Non-coding RNA from Pelodiscus sinensis (Chinese soft-shelled turtle), 611 nucleotides. The record is from RefSeq and is a predicted model, not a curated record. NCBI's taxonomy places the organism in Eukaryota, Metazoa, Chordata, Testudines, Trionychidae.
AGUACUCCAUCAGGAUGAGAAGAAUAGCCAACGUUGAUGGCCCCCGCUGACCUUAUUGCACUCAAUAUGCCGUGGACGAUGUCUCCUUCGAACAACACCCGGUGCACGCUCAAAAGCUUUUGGCCUGCCACACUUGGACAAGUGGCAAGCUGCACUCCCAGUUGGACUGAAGGCUUUGAUCCAAAGGACAUAUUCCCAUUGACUUCAAAGUGCUAUAGCUCGGAUCCAGAGCUUUUAUAAUGCAGCGGCAAGAGACAUGUGGGACUCCUUAUGCCUCCUUGUUGAAGAUGCAUCUCCGGGCCUUUGAAGAUCUAAUAGGGAAGUGAUUUUUAUGGCUGAUUUAUUAGCCCAACUGCUUCAGUGGGUCUUUGCCUGCAGCAACUCCGGAUAAUUUCAGAGAGCUAAUUGCAGCAUAAAUUCAAGCUUCACAAAAACGGAACUAGUCAUCCAAAUCUCUCUGUAAAACUGCUCAGUACAACCACAUCUAUGUGUUGGAGGCAGCUCUGGAAGCACAGAUGCACAGAAGUUACGGACAAACCAGUGCGUUGCGAUCAUUUAGUCUAAUCUCCCGCAUAAGGCAAUCCAAAGAACCUUACCCAGUAAACUGCAUC